GAUGAACGCUAGCUACAGGCUUAACACAUGCAAGUCGAGGGGUAACGAGAGGAAAGCUUGCUUUCCUUGUCGACGACCGGCGCACGGGUGAGUAACGCGUAUCCAACCUGCCCCCAACUAGGGAAUAACCUUGCGAAAGUAAGACUAAUACCCUAUAAUUUCCUCAGAUGUCAUCUGACGAGGAAUAAAGAUUUAUCGGUUGUGGAUGGGGAUGCGUCUGAUUAGCUUGUUGGCGGGGUAACGGCCCACCAAGGCAACGAUCAGUAGGGGUUCUGAGAGGAAGGUCCCCCACAUUGGAACUGAGACACGGUCCAAACUCCUAAGGGAGGCAGCAGUGAGGAAUAUUGGUCAAUGGGCGGAAGCCUGAACCAGCCAAGUAGCGUGCAGGAUGACGGCCCUAUGGGUUGUAAACUGCUUAUAUACAGGAAUAAAGUUAGCCACGUGUGGUUAUUUGUAGGUACUGUAUGAAUAAGGACCGGCUAAUUCCGUGCCAGCAGCCGCGGUAA
This 506-nucleotide ribosomal RNA is filed under the name uncultured bacterium. RNAcentral's name for it is "partial 16S ribosomal RNA". It matches the Rfam family "Bacterial small subunit ribosomal RNA", at positions 28 to 523 of the family's 1533-position model. The record is from RNAcentral.